AUUCUUUUUUCUUGGCUCAGGACGAACGCUGGCGGCGUGCGUCAUACAUGCAAGUCGAGCGGACUUGAUCGAGUGCUUGCACUCCUGAUGGUUAGCGGCGGACGGGUGAGUAACACGUAGGUAACCUGCCCAUAAGACUGGGAUAACCCACGGAAACGUGAGCUAAUACCAGAUAGGCAUUUUCCUCGCAUGAGGGAAAUCAGAAAGCCGGAGCACUCUGUCAGUUAUGGAUGGACCUGCGGCGCAUUAGUUAGUUGGUAAGGUAACGGUUUACCAAGGCGACGAUGCGUAGCCGUCCUGAGAGGGUGAUCGGCCACACUGGGAUUGAGACACGGCCCAGAUUCUUACGGGAGGCACCAGUAGGGAAUCUUCCGCAAUGGACGAAAGUCUGACGGAGCAACGCCGCGUGAGUGAUGAAGGUUUUCGGAUCGUAAAGCUCUGUUGCCAGGGAAGAACGCCUAGGAGAGUAACUGCUCAUAGGGUGACGGUACCUGAGAAGAAAGCCCCGGCUAAUUACGUGCCAGCAGCCGCGGUAAUACGUAGGGGGCGAGCGUUGUCCGGAAUUAUUGGGCGUAAAGCGCGCGCAGGCGGCAAUGUAAGUUGGGUGUUUAAACCUAGGGUUCAACCUUGGGUCGCAUCCAAAACUGCAUAGCUUGAGUACAGAAGAGGAAAGUGGAAUUCCACGUGUAGCGGUGAAAUGCGUAGAGAUGUGGAGGAACACCAGUGGGGAAGGCGACUUUCUGGGCUGUAACUGACGCUGAGCGCGAAAGAUUAUU
Molecule: ribosomal RNA, 776 nt
Filed under: Paenibacillus alvei
Lineage: Bacteria; Bacillati; Bacillota; Bacilli; Caryophanales; Paenibacillaceae
Description: bacterial SSU rRNA
Rfam family: Bacterial small subunit ribosomal RNA
Source: RNAcentral